GAUGAACGCUGACAGCAUGCUUAACACAUGCAAGUCAACUUGAAUUUGGGUUUUUAACUUAGGUUUGGGUGGCGGACGGGUGAGUAACGCGUAAAGAACUUGCCUCACAGCUAGGGACAACAUUUGGAAACGAAUGCUAAUACCUAAUAUUAUGAUAAUAGGGCAUCCUAUAAUUAUGAAAGCUAUAAGCGCUGUGAGAGAGCUUUGCGUCCCAUUAGCUAGUUGGAGAGGUAACGGCUCACCAAGGCGAUGAUGGGUAGCCGGCCUGAGAGGGUGAUCGGCCACAAGGGAACUGAGACACGGCCCUUACCCUUACGGGGGGCAGCGGUGGGGAAUAUUGGACAAUGGACCGAGAGUCUGAUCCAGCAAUUCUGUGUGCACGAUGAAGUUUUUCGGAAUGUAAAGUGCUUUCAGUUGGGAAGAAACAAAUGACGGUACCAACAGAAGAAGUGACGGCUAAAUACGUG
RNAcentral lists this ribosomal RNA (467 nucleotides) under uncultured bacterium. RNAcentral describes it as "partial 16S ribosomal RNA". It matches the Rfam family "Bacterial small subunit ribosomal RNA", at positions 28 to 507 of the family's 1533-position model. The record is from RNAcentral.